Molecule: microRNA precursor, 126 nt
Filed under: Myotis lucifugus (little brown bat)
Lineage: Eukaryota; Metazoa; Chordata; Mammalia; Chiroptera; Vespertilionidae
Description: mir-9193 microRNA precursor family
Rfam family: mir-9193 microRNA precursor family
Source: Rfam by way of RNAcentral
CAUGCACCAGUGGGGUCCCUCAGCCUGGCCUGUGCCAUCUCACAAUAUGGGACCCCUCAGGGGAUGUUGGAGAGCUGGUUUUGGCCCAAUCCCGCAGGCCAGGCUGAGGGACCACACUGGUGCACU